RNAcentral lists this ribosomal RNA (712 nucleotides) under uncultured Staphylococcus sp. RNAcentral describes it as "bacterial SSU rRNA". It matches the Rfam family "Bacterial small subunit ribosomal RNA", at positions 43 to 737 of the family's 1533-position model. Lineage: Bacteria; Bacillati; Bacillota; Bacilli; Caryophanales; Staphylococcaceae. The record is from RNAcentral.
CGUGCCUAAUACAUGCAAGUCGAGCGAACGGACGAGAAGCUUGCUUCUCUGAUGUUAGCGGCGGACGGGUGAGUAACACGUGGAUAACCUACCUAUAAGACUGGGAUAACUUCGGGAAACCGGAGCUAAUACCGGAUAAUAUUUUGAACCGCAUGGUUCAAAAGUGAAAGACGGUCUUGCUGUCACUUAUAGAUGGAUCCGCGCUGCAUUAGCUAGUUGGUAAGGUAACGGCUUACCAAGGCAACGAUGCAUAGCCGACCUGAGAGGGUGAUCGGCCACACUGGAACUGAGACGCGGUCCAGACUCCUACGGGAGGCAGCAGUAGGGAAUCUUCCGCAAUGGGCGAAAGCCUGACGGAGCAACGCCGCGUGAGUGAUGAAGGUCUUCGGAUCGUAAAACUCUGUUAUUAGGGAAGAACAUAUGUGUAAGUAACUGUGCACAUCUUGACGGUACCUAAUCAGAAAGCCACGGCUAACUACGUGCCAGCAGCCGCGGUAAUACGUAGGUGGCAAGCGUUAUCCGGAAUUAUUGGGCGUAAAGCGCGCGUAGGCGGUUUUUUAAGUCUGAUGUGAAAGCCCACGGCUCAACCGUGGAGGGUCAUUGGAAACUGGAAAACUUGAGUGCAGAAGAGGAAAGUGGAAUUCCAUGUGUAGCGGUGAAAUGCGCAGAGAUAUGGAGGAACACCAGUGGCGAAGGCGACUUUCUGGUCUGU